UACGUAGGGUGCGAGCGUUGUCCGGAAUUAUUGGGCGUAAAGAGCUUGUAGGCGGUUUGUCGCGUCUGCUGUGAAAACUGGAGGCUCAACCUCCAGCCUGCAGUGGGUACGGGCAGGCUAGAGUUCGGUAGGGGAGACUGGAAUUCCUGGUGUAGCGGUGAAAUGCGGCAGAUAUCAGGAGGAACACCGGUGGCGAAGGCGGGGUCUCUGGGCCGAUACUGACGCUGAGGAGCGAAAGCGUGGGGAGCGAACAGG
RNAcentral lists this ribosomal RNA (255 nucleotides) under uncultured bacterium. RNAcentral describes it as "partial 16S ribosomal RNA". It matches the Rfam family "Bacterial small subunit ribosomal RNA", at positions 524 to 776 of the family's 1533-position model. The record is from RNAcentral.